Long non-coding RNA from Chrysemys picta bellii (western painted turtle), 7719 nucleotides. RefSeq lists it as uncharacterized. NCBI's taxonomy places the organism in Eukaryota, Metazoa, Chordata, Testudines, Emydidae. The record is from RefSeq and is a predicted model, not a curated record.
GAGUCAAGGGAAAGGGUAGGUAUGGCUUUGUGGCCUGCAUCAUGCAGGGGGUCAGACUAGAUGAUCAUAAUGGUCCCUUCUGACCUUAAAGUCUAUGAGUCUAUGAGUAAAGUGUGCGUGAGGGGGGUCCCCUCACCAGCAAGAGCGUUCACUUUUUGCCCAUCGCCAGUGUAUUCUUCUCAAAUCUUUUCAUCCAAAUCCAUGCUUUCAUCUCCAAGCUACAGAGCAAGUGUCAUCUUAGUUCAAAAAGAGAUUAGUAAAUAGUGUCUGCCUUUCUCUGCACAAGCUCCUUCCUGCCUAACCUGCAAGAAAAAGUAUUUAACAAGUUACUAAUAAACAGUCUCCAGGGGGCACCCAAUGAAAUUAACAGGCAUCAAGCUUAAAACAAACAUAAGGAAGUACUUCUUCACACAACUGCAUAGUCAGCCUGUGGAACUUGUUUCCAGGGGAUGUUUGAAGGCCAAAAUAUAACAGGGUUCAAAAAAGAAUUACCUAAAUUCAGGGAGGAUAGAUCUAUCAAGAUUGUCAGGGACGCAAUCCCAUACUCCGGGUGUCCCAAAAUCUCUGACUGCCAGAUGCCAGGACUGGAUGACAGGAGACGUGUCACUCGAUCAAUUGCCUCGUUCUGUUCAUUCCCUCUGAAGCAUCUGGCACCGGCCACUGUCAGACGAGGGAUAAUUGGUCUGACCCAGCAUGGCCAUUCUUGUGUUCUUAAUUUCACGUGCCAAGAAAUAUCAAAAUGAAGCAGCAUCCAGGUUCAUAUCGGACAUGGAGGAGAGCAGGCUGCCGCUCAGUAAGUAGUACCUCAGAUCAAAUCCUGGAAAGCAUAACAUCUGCCUGCAUGCGCUACCCUGCGCACAAAGCCCACCACCAUGCACAUCAGAUUUUUAAAUCACAGCUUCUGCUGCAGCCUUUUUGGCUCAAGCAGGGAUUAUUUACAUUAGUGUAACAGGUAGCUCUCCUGGACUCAACAUCCGUCAGGCAGGCACAAAACACCUUCCCGAGAACAAACAGCUGCCACUGCGCUCUGUGAAGAGGCAGAGGCAUUACUAUCAUCUCAGUAUCAUGCCGCAUCUUUUGCCGACACGAGACCGAGGAGGCGGCUUAUGUAACUCUCUAUCCUGGCAGGUUACACAGAGCAUUCCCGGUGACUACGUGCAGCUGGAGCAGAGUCUGUUCUUACCCAGUAUGAUACAAGCCAUUGCUCUAGGUCAACCUUUAAAGAGAUCUCCGGAGUACUUCAGCAUGGCAUGAGCAGUCUCUGACUUGUAAUUAACUCUACAGUUGGUGUGCGUUUUUAAAUAACCACUUUUUCCUUCUCUAGUAGCUUUCCUAGAGUGCUCACUGCAGUUAACAAAUGUAAUUUAACCUCACAACCUCCUGGGAGGUAUAAGCAUUACCCUGUUUUAAAGAUGAGGCCACAGGCAGAGAGGUGAAGAGACUUCCCCAAGGCCUCACCUAGCCUGUGACAGUUCUGGGAGCGGACCCCAGGGCUCCUCUCUCCUGAGGCCUGUGUCUUACCCAGGUGCCUUUUUGAGAACAGAGGUGACACCCAGAAGGUUUACAUAUGUUGACUGGGCCCAUUUUCAGACAAGCAACACAAAGACCUCAACAGUCAGCCAGCACAAAGAUGCCAAACAGCUACCACUGGAACAGAAUCAAACCAAUCAAGUGUCUUUUGGUGCUAGAAUGGGGACAGUAGCUCACGGAGAUGCAUGACUUCAUCAAUGCUGCCAGGCAAAGAGGACAGAAAGUUGCUCAGCUGGCAGACAAAGAGGAGGGAGGCGGAGGAGGGGGACAGAGUCCCUGGCACUUACAAGAACAUUUUUACAACUUAGGAGCCAAAAUGAAGUUCUCUUUCUCCUGGAAAUGUCAGCAAGGAGUAGGUGGAAGUGUUUCACAGAAUGAUACACAAACUCCCUUGCCUUGACAGGCUACAAGAAUCUCUGGUUUCCAAGUCAUACGCCAGAGGGAACAACAUUAUUUGAACAUUUGAACACAAUGCAGUGAGCCAGCAUGCAGCAAAGCAAUUGACUCUGGCAGCUUCUACGUGUCUUCAUACAAAGGUACCCUACCCACUGACAACAUGCAGCACCCAGGGCAGACUCUGUAUGCCGUUCACAGAAAAAGCCUCACAAGUAAGAACAAUCUGUUCUGCUCGCCCCAGACAUUUGACAUCGAGCCCUCUUUCUCAAUAGCUUAGUGUGCAGCCCACCCCUGAAAGUGAUUUCUAUCAGCAACUACAACUAAGGUCCCCCUACCUUUAAGUCACUGGAUGCAGAGUGCCUUUCUAAACUACAAGUUGAAUGUGUCAGGAAACCAUUAUGAUUUAAUAAUGCCCCAACAGUAUUAGAACAUGAUCCAGUCUUCUCUAUGUAGAUACUACCAAGCCACGUUAUAAGCUUCUUAACAAGCAAUGUUACCAUCCUGUCAAGAUGGUAACAUGAUUCAAAAAGUGGUUACAAAACAGGUUAGUUUCAUCUGCAUACACAAGGCCAAAUUGCAUUCUAGCCUGGUCAGGUCACGGUUGUGUUAGAACAGUCCUCUGACACAGCAGGUUUAAAACAAUGUAGGAAAGAUAACCUAAGCUAUAAUCGCACCCUUUAAAAAACAGAGGGCAGAAGUUCUGCCAUUUUUCUAACAGCAGAGAGUUUUGAUUCUACACCAUGUACUAGUCUCAUCAAAAUAAAUAAUUACAUUCUGCACUUGCAUGGUGUCUUUUAGCUGAAGAUCUAAAAGUACUUUAUCAAAUAUUAAGCGAGCGUCACACCAAGCCCGCACAGUACUAGACAACACCCAGUUUACAGAAGGAUAAACUGAGACACGGCAUCUUGCCUUUGGUCACACAAGUCAGUGGCAAAGCUCAGUACAGAACCCUGGAGUCCUGGCUCCCAGCCUCUGUUAUACCUCUUCAGGAAAUGUGUGUUGGUAACAGCUGACAAACACAAUGUAUAUGCAAAUAUAAAGCCAUUAUUGGGAGCAAAGCAUUCCAGAAGGAGCAUGUCUAGUGAUAUGACCAGAGGACUGGUACCAAACUACCUAAAUUCUACACCCUGCACUGCCAAUGACUUGCUACAUGACCUGAAGUAAAAUCAUGGGGUUUUGUUUGGUUUUGAGUAGCCUCAAUUUAGCCAUCUCUAAAGAUGGGCAUUACCCACUAGUUUGCAGGUGUGUAGUGAAGUUAAUGCUUUGUGCCUACACUAAUGUGUAGUGAGUGAGUGAGUGCAUUAAGUCAAUUAUAGUGAAAGUUAAAACUGUAGAAGCUGUGUGUAGUACAUACAAGGGUGGCAUACAUGCAUGGAAUGUAGUAUCAUCAGAGCUAGAGGGAAUUUGAUAAAUUUUUAAGGUUUAUCUGAUGGGGCGGGCCUGGCAUCUUUUAUACUUCUAAUUAAAAUCCGAAAUCCUCACUUCUCAUUGAGCAGGAGUUAAAUGUGGCCUACUAUAAAACAACGGAAGGGCUCCCCCUGCUGGGUCUGCAAUAGUGGUUACACCCUAUUCCAAGAGUUGACCUCAUCAAUGCUGCUGGUGCAGAAAACAAGGAAGUAAACUAGCUUUGGCUGCAUUUGAAACAAUGAGGAAAAUCCUUCCUUUGACAAAGGGAAGGAUGCCAGUGAAGGAGGGAGUGUCCUAAUGUUCUAAGCGCAAAGGAGGGCAGGAAACCUCUCUAGCAAUAGUUGAACUUGCCCUAUGUUUCUACUGCAGCGAGACGUGACUCGACUUUCUUCACCCAGAAGGCUAAUGUAUGUGACUGUUGGGCCCACUCCUGCGGCUGGGAGCUAGAUUCAGCGGUACCUGCCUACCUGAGGCAGUCUCUCUAGCAUACCACUAAAGCUUCAAUCAACAGAGGCAUCUGAGCCAUCAGCCAUUGAAAGAAGAGUGACGGUGGCAAGGUUUCAAAAAGCUAAAGUGAGAUGGGCAAAUAUGAUUAUCCUCAAUUUACAGAUGGGAAGACAGAGGUGGCAAAGGAAGUAACUUGCCCAGACGCAGCCAAGUCAGCGAAAGAGCUGGGAACAGCACUGUGGUCAAGAGCAUGACUGAAAGCAGGCCAGUGGCUAGGGGACAGAACUGAGUCAGGCCAGAGAGAGGCUCUGCCGGGAGCACAUAAUCUUUUGGAUCAGUUGGACACUUUUGAAUAAAGGAGGAAAUUUCUAACCUUCAAUCAAGUCCUUGACCAAAUAGGGUAAUAAGUAAAACAAUGCCUUUACAUCUGGCAAAAGUAGCCUCCGCCUGAGGGGCACAGUUUGGGUCAGGAAGACCCUAACACAGCACAUUUGUGGUUCAUGUUUUGCAGCUUGACACUGAGAGCAGCUACAUUUUGGAUAGUGCCAAAGCUAGGUAUAAUGCACAGCUUUCAUCAGGCUUACAGCCCUUCACAAUCACCAGUUAAGCCUCCUAGCACCCCUGUAUGUUGGGUAUUAUUCUUAUUUUAAAAUGGAUAAAAUGAGAUAUGGAUACAAUACCAUGGACAUGAAAUUCCACCUUUUUACGCUGCAAGACAACUUUUUUUUUUGCUGAGCAUUGUUAACCUUUGUGCCCAAUACAGGCCUAGAAUAGCAUACAUGGGGUCAAGCUUACAACAACCUUUGUCAGAAAACCAGUCUUCUGCCCUCUCUCCAAGCUCAUAUGACAAAUUUAAGUUGUUUUUUCCUCCCCCCACCUUCCUCUCAAUUAUAGCAUAAAUAUUCAAUGAAGAUUUAGGUCAACACAUUUUCCUGCAGCGCAGUCUCACGAAGCACAUUUUGUUUUUAUCACAUCAAAUUUCUUUUAUAAAAGCAUCUUACUUGCAUGUAUUGAAAUCCCAGAUUCUUGUUUACGUUGUUCAAAGACUUAGGCAGCCCAUUCUGAACUAAAUCCCUAAUUAAACAUGACCCAGCUUGUUUCUAAUUAACAUUUUCCAACGCUCCCUAGGAAUUUCCAGAUGUAUCCAGAGGGACAAUUCAAGUAUAUUUACAUAUAUCAGUGCCAACAUUCCCCCUUACUUCUCUCCAUAUUUCUACCUAAACCAGACAUUUCCAGCCAAGGGACAGUUCAACUUAGAGGCUGACCACUGACUAGAUGGCAGGACAUGAUACAUAGGGCUUAAAGGAGGAACAAGCCGUGGAUAGGAAAGAACAGUGACACUCCAUGUCUGCAUCCGAAGUGGAUAGUCACCCACGAAAGCUCAUGCUCCUAUACGUCUGUUAGUCUAUAAGGUGCCACAGGACUCUUUGCUGCUUUUACAUGUCUGCGAAGAUGCACCAGGAUGGAAACAAAAUAUUUCCACUCUCUUAUGUCCACAGCCCUAAGUGUAGCAUGUUUUUAUAAACUACCCAUGUUUACUAUUUCUACCUCACUAUCAACAGCAUGGGGAGAGCGCAGGGUUGGACGAUGUGGAACCUGGGACUUAGACUGAAGGUUGUACAAAUAAAACAAUCCAGUAAAGUCAAAUCUCCUCCCAGUUGGCAAGGGAAGGGGAUUUAAUACAGCUGGGCCAUAUCAGAAUCAAAUUACAUUUGGGAAAUUCCACUAGGAUAUUACCCAGUGUAGAAGGUAUUGUCAUCUCACAUUUACCCAACAAUUAAUGAAUGUGGUAACCAAGAGCAGAUUUUAAAGUUCAAAUAUCGCACGCACAGGGUUCUAUCAAACAGGACUGAACAAAUUAGAGAUUUUGCUAGGCUUGAGAUCGACCACAGUGACUUAAAUCUUUACUUGUGUCGCAGGAGCGCUAAACGGCUUGGGCUGGAGCUCCACUGUGCUGGGCGCUGCCUGUCCCAAGCAGCUUACAAUCUCAAGAGACCAAACAUAGAUGAAGACCUGGAGAAAGGAGCCGUCAAGGUGAAGGCAGGCCCCUGGGUCCUUCCUCUCCAAAGCAGUCGGUACUAGCUAGCGACAGCAGGCAAUUCCCAGCCCUCCUUCUGUCACAUCCCACCUCCAGACCAGAAGGGCUCAUCUGGAGAAGGGGAGGCCCUAAGCCUGCUUCUCCAUGGGGACCAGAAGUCACAAUUAGAAGGAACCUACAGGAGGAGUUAUAGGCUAUGUAGGUCUGCAGACCUCCUUCCCAAAUGCAGCAAAUACCAACUAUGGCACAGAAUAUAGAGGGUAAAAAUCAGGGCCUUCCAGUCCCCUUGUGCCCCUACAAGAGACCCAGAAGAACCCACUGGAAGCAUCCUUCCUCCUCCACAAGGAGAGUAAUUGCAGCCAGGACGAGCCUUCACAGUCUGAUGCUCACUCGACUGUGGCACCUGGGCUCUGCCGUCUCAUUGCUGUAGUAUCACCGCUGUUUUCAUCCUACCCCUUCCCCCACCGCUGUCCACCUCAACUCUCCCCUGUGCCUAGUGGGCUUCUCAACCUCCUUACCUCCCUCUUCAGACUCCUCUCAUUACCCACUACCCUUCUUACUUCAACCAACUCCUCCACUUCCCCAUCUCCAGCCCUCUGCGCUGACCCAAAGAAGCCUAAAAUCUAGACUUUACGUAACAGUAAUAAGAAAUGCCAAUAAGAGACAUGGGUGCUUGUUGCAGUUGGUUCCAUCACCCUGACCAUUGUGCUUGUAUGCCGUAGCCACUUCCCCUGCCUUCGCUGCUUCAGAUUGUGAGCUCUUGGGGAGGGACCAGUUCUCUGUAUGUAUUUAUACAGCCGCUAGCAUAAUGGGCUCUGUAGAGGUGUUCUUGGGCCUAAUUUUUAGGCCCAGCUUGAGCCCGAGAGGACUGAGUCAUUUUCAAACCCGACCCUUCCGCCCGAACCUGGAUUAUUGCCACCAUGAGGUUGGCACUACACAGGCCAUGCGUCCGUUUUUUAACCGGACAGUCCUGUUUUGGGUGGCUUGUCUCUGUCUGGUACGGAGCCAAAGCUGGAUGUGGUUUUGCACGAUAUUAACAGGGGGGCCAUUUUGAAGAGCACGUUGCUCCGUACCUGCGGGUGCAACGUCAUACACGCUAUGCGUGUGAGGUAACAUCGAGCGGAGACACCACUUUGAAGAACAUGUCACGCACUGCAUGCAUGCUGUGUGCGAGGUCACAACCCUGGGGGUGGGCACAUGCCAUUCCUGAAGUACUGGGACAUCCCGCAGCAGCCACCGUGGUUGGCAUGGCGGCAGGUUGGAUGCCCUGCUCCUGCCAUCCAACAGCCCUCUCUGUGCAGUGAAAGCCACUGCAACUCUCGGCACACUCACUCCGCAACAUGCACAGCAGUGGGGUGAUGGCGUUCGGCAGAGACAGGGCACACAACUGCUGCCACGCUUACCCCCUGGGCAAUAGGAGGAGAUCUGACCCAACCCAACAGAGAGGGUCCGGAGGUUUUCCCAUCUGACCCCGACCUGACACUUGUAGUCGGGUCCCAUCAGGUUCAGGUCAGGUUGCAGGACUGACGCUGACGGAAGGCCUCCAGGCACUGCCAUAAUACUAACGAUCUCAAAGUACUGCUGAACGUUUCAAGCAAAUUGAAUAAGACAUACUGAACAGCCAUCAUUUGUGUAUCAUUUUACAGAACACUGGGUUGCAAAUGUGACUUUUGCCCGCCCCGCCCCUGCUGAGAAGUCACAAUCCCUCAUGGCAAUGGUUGCUGUGUGCGGCCCAUUACAUGGGUCUCAAUUAUUUCCAUGUGGUCAUCAGGGUUGUUAGAUUUCAGAGUAGCAGCCGUGUUAGUCUGUAUACGCAAAAAGAACAGGAGUACUUGUGGCACCUUAGAGACUAACAAAUUUAUUAAAGCGUAAGCUUUCGUGGACUACAGCCCACUUCUUCG